RNAcentral lists this ribosomal RNA (497 nucleotides) under uncultured bacterium. RNAcentral describes it as "partial 16S ribosomal RNA". It matches the Rfam family "Bacterial small subunit ribosomal RNA", at positions 28 to 507 of the family's 1533-position model. The record is from RNAcentral.
GAUGAACGCUGGCGGCGUGCCUAAUACAUGCAAGUCGAGCGAACGGACGAGAAGCUUGCUUCUCUGAUGUUAGCGGCGGACGGGUGAGUAACACGUGGAUAACCUACCUAUAAGACUGGGAUAACUUCGGGAAACCGGAGCUAAUACCGGAUAAUAUUUUGAACCGCAUGGUUCAAAAGUGAAAGACGGUCUUGCUGUCACUUAUAGAUGGAUCCGCGCUGCAUUAGCUAGUUGGUAAGGUAACGGCUUACCAAGGCAACGAUGCAUAGCCGACCUGAGAGGGUGAUCGGCCACACUGGAACUGAGACACGGUCCAGACUCCUACGGGAGGCAGCAGUAGGGAAGCUUCCGCAAUGGGCGAAAGCCUGACGGAGCAACGCCGCGUGAGUGAUGAAGGUCUUCGGAUCGUAAAACUCUGUUAUUAGGGAAGAACAUAUGUGUAAGUAACUGUGCACAUCGUGACGGUACCUAAUCAGAAAGCCACGGCUAACUACGUG